Molecule: ribosomal RNA, 468 nt
Filed under: uncultured bacterium
Lineage: Bacteria
Description: partial 16S ribosomal RNA
Rfam family: Bacterial small subunit ribosomal RNA
Source: RNAcentral
GACGAACGCUGGCGGCGUGCUUAACACAUGCAAGUCGAACGGAAAGGCCCUGCUUUUGUGGGGUGCUCGGGUGGCGAACGGGUGAGUAACACGUGAGUAACCUGCCCUUGACUUUGGGAUAACUUCAGGACACUGGGGCUAAUACCGGAUAGGAGCUCCUGCUGCAUGGUGGGGGUUGGAAAGUUUCGGCGGUUGGGGCUGGACUCGCGGGUUAUCAGCUUGUUGGUGGGGUAGUGGCUUACCAAGGCUUUGACGGGUAGCCGGCCUGAGGGGGUGACCGGCCACAUUGGGACUGAGAUACGGCCCAGACUCCUACGGGAGGCAGCAGUGGGGAAUAUUGCACAACGGGCGCAAGCCUGAUGCAGCAACGCCGCGUGCGUGAUGACGGCCUUCGGGUUGUAAACCGCUUUCGCCUGUGACGAAGCGUGAGUGACGGUAAUGGGUAAAGAAGCACCGGCUAACUACGUG